Molecule: ribosomal RNA, 253 nt
Filed under: uncultured bacterium
Lineage: Bacteria
Description: partial 16S ribosomal RNA
Rfam family: Bacterial small subunit ribosomal RNA
Source: RNAcentral
UACAGGGGGGGCAAGCGUUGUUCGGAAUUACUGGGCGUAAAAGGCUCGUAGGUGGCCAACUAAGUCAGACGUGAAAUCCCUCAGCUUAACUGGGGAACUGCGUCUGAUACUGGAUGGCUUGAGUUUGGGAGAGGGAUGCGGAAUUCCAGGUGUAGCGGUGAAAUGCGUAGAUAUCUGGAGGAACACCGGUGGCGAAGGCGGCAUCCUGGACCAACACUGACACUGAGGAGCGAAAGCCAGGGGAGCAAACGGG